Molecule: long non-coding RNA, 1555 nt
Organism: Chrysemys picta bellii (western painted turtle)
Lineage: Eukaryota; Metazoa; Chordata; Testudines; Emydidae
Source: Ensembl
ACAUAACACUGCUCUACAGCCAAAAUGCUUCUGAAAUAAAUGUAGUCAAACUUUACUAAUUCUGGGUCACUGAGAACGAAAAUGAUGCUUAAAAUUGUUGAUUGGCUCUAGUUUUCAAGAUAUACUAUCGGGUCAGUAUAUACGACCCUUGACUUGGGAAUGGCGGAGGAUAAGUGAGUUAUAAAGGGAAGGGAUCUCAAUUUAAACCAGAAAUGACUAAAAUACAUCUUUGACUGGAUCUAUGAAUAAAUCUAUGACUGGGUUUGGACAAUACUUGCUUUUUAGGCAAAACAAUGAAUGAUGCAAUCUGAAGCUGGUAUUGUGUCAUACAUGAUAUGAAUUGCAUCAUGUUAUUCCUAGAAGUCAUGGAUGAUGCAAUCAUAAUGAAGCUUAUAUCACUCUGCUGAACAAAUUGCCUUAUAUCAGCUCUAGAAAUCAUACAGUGUCGUGCUCUCUUAUUUGUCAGUGUUUGAUUUUGCCAAGGGACACAUUUCUGUUUAGCCAAAGUGAGCAGAGAUGCCUCGUACUUGUGUGAACAGUGCAGAUAACUUCUGCUAUGUUUGUGGUGAAGUGACUUUUUCAUCACAAAAGCGCAGUAUAACCACUAUGGUUAAGAAAGGCUAUCACCUUUAUUUUGGCUGCAAAAUUGGAGAUCAGGACAAGAGGUGGGCCCCACACAUAUGCUGCAACACUUGUGCAACAAAUCUUCGCCAGUGGUUGAACAGGAAAAGGAAAUCUAUGCCUUUUGCAGUGCCAAUGAUUUGGAGAGAGCCAACAGAUCAUACCAGCAAUUGUUACUUCGGCAUGGUGCCUCCAGUUGGGAAAGGUGUGUCAAAAAAGAAAAAGUGGACUAUGCAUUAUCCAAACAUUCCAUCAGCUAUACGCCCAGUACCCCACGGAGAAGGACUGCUGGUUCCUGAUGCACCAGAAUCAUUCUCACUUGAGUCAGACGGGGAAGAGGAAGAGCAUGAAACUUCUGGUCCUGAACCAUCAAUGUCACAGGACCCACAUUUUCUCCCAUCCUCCUCCUCUGAACCACAUCUCAUAACACAAGGUGAACUGAAUGACCUUGUCAGGGAUUUGGAACUACCCAAGAGUAAGGCAGAGCUGUUGGGCUCCAGACUACAGCAGUGGAAUCUCCUGGCAGGUGAUGUUAAGGUUUCCAUGUUCUGUGACCGUCAAAAGGAUCUUGUCCCAUUCUUCUUCAUGGAAGGUGAUCUUGUAGCCUGCAACAACAUCGAUGGUGUGAUGGCAACCCUCAACAUCGUUCAUGAUCCAGAUGAGUGGAGACUGUUCAUUGAUUCAUCAAAGAUGAGUCUUAAAGCUGUUUUACUGCAUAAUGGCAAUGUUUUGCCAUCAAUUCCAGUUGGUCAUGCAGUCCAUAUGAAGGAAACCUAUGACAACAUGAAACAACUUUUGAGGUGCAUAAACUAUGACCAACAUCAGUGGCAGCUCUGUGGUGAUUUGAAGGUUGUUGCUCUCUUGCUUGGUCUGCAGACUGGAUACACAAAGUACUGCUGUUUUCUCUGCGAAUGGGAUAGUCGUGCAAGAGAUU